AUUUAUUUCAAAUCGUAGUCAUAAUAUUUGGCUGUUGUAAAUAGACACUGAUUUUGUGUGUUUGCUUUUUUUAAGGACUAAUGUUGCUGGACAGGCAGGUAUUAGAGACAGGGUGGAUCUGCUGGACAGGCAGGUAGUAUAGACAGGGUGGAUCUGCUGGCCAGCCAGGUAGUAUAGAUAGCGUGGAUCUACUGGCCAGGCAGGUAGUGUAGACAGGGUGGAUCUGCUGGGCAGGCAGGUAGUGUAGACAGGGUGGACCUGCUGGACAAGCAGGCAGUGUAGACAGAGUGGAUCUGCCGGCCAGGCAGGUAGUGUAGAUAGCAUGGAUCUACUGGCCAGGCAGGUAGUGUAGACAGGGUGGAUCUGUUGGGUAGGCAGGUAGUGUAGACAGGAUGGAUCUGCUGGACAGGCAGGUAGUAUAGACAGAGUGGAUCUGCUGGACAGGCCGGUAGUAUAGACAGGGCGGAUGUGCUGGCCAGGCAGGUAGUAUAGAAAGGGCGGGUCUGCUGGACAGGCAGGUAGUGUAGACAGGGUGGAUCUGCUGGGCAGGCAGGUAGUGUAGACAAGGUGGACCUGCAGGAUAGGCAGGUAGUAUAGACAGGGUGCAUCUGCUCGACAGUUAGGUAGUAUAGACAGGGUGGAUCUGCUGGACAGGCAGGUAGUGUAGAUAGUGUGGAUCUACUGGCCAGGUAGGUAGUGUAGACAGGGUGGACCUGCUUGACAGGCAGGUAGUAUAGACAGAGUGGAUCUGCUGGCCAUACAGGUAGAGUAGAUAGCGUGAAUCUACUGGCCAGGCAGGUAGUAUGGACAGGGUGGAUCUGCUGGGCAGGCAGGUAGUGUAGACAGGGUGGAUCUGCUGGCCAGGCAGGUAGUACAGACAGGGCGGAUCUGCUGGGCAGGCAGGUAGUGUAGAUAGGGUGGACCUGCUGGGCAAGCAGGUAGUGUAGACAGGGUGGAUCUGCUCGCCAGGCAGGUAGUGUAGAUAGCGUGGAUCUGCUGGCCAGGCAGUUAGUAUAGACAGGGUGGAUCUGCUGAGCAGGCAGGUAGUGUAGACAGGGUAGAUCUGCUGGAUAGGCAGGUAGUAUAGACAGGGUGGAUCUGCUGGACAGGCAGGUAGUGUAGAUAGGGUGGACAUGCUGGACAGGCAGCUAGUGUAGACAGGGUGGAUCUGCUGGACAAGCAGGUAGUGUAGACAUGGCGCAUCUUCUGGGCAGGCAGGUAGUGUAGACAGGGUGGAUCUGCUGGCCAGUCAGGUAGUAUAGACAGGGUGGAUCUGCUGGCCAGGCAGGUAGUAUAGACAGGGUGGAUCUGCUGGCCAGGGAGGUAGUAUAGACAGGGUGGGUCUACUGGACAGGGAGGUAGUAUAGACAGCGUGGAUCUGCUAGCCAGGCAGGUAGUGUAGAUAGCGUGCAUUACUGGCAAGGAAGGUAGUGUAGACAGGGUGGAUCUUCUGGCCAGGCAGGUAGUGUAGACAGGGUGGAUCUACUCGGCAGGGAGGUAGUGUAGACAGGGUGGACCUGCUGGAUGGGCAGGUAGUAUAGACAGGGUGGAUCUGCUAGACAGGCAGGUAGUAUAGACAGGGUGGAUCUGCUGGAUAGGCAGGUAGUGUAGACAGGGUGGAUCUGCUGGACAGCCAGGUAGUGUAGACAGAGUGGAUUUGCUGGACAGGCAGGUAGUGUAGACAGGGUGGACCUGCUGGACAAGCAGGUAGAGUAGACAGGGUGGAUCUGCUCGCUAGGUAGGUAGUGAAGACAGGGUGGAUCUGCUGGGCAGGUAGGUAGUGUAGACAGGGUAGAUAUGCUGGAUAGGCAGGUAGUAUAGACAGGGUGGAUCUUCUGGAGAGGCAGGUAGUGUAGACAGGGUGGACCUGCUGGACAAGCAUGUAGUGUAGACAGGGUGGAUCUGGUAAGUCAGGUAGUGUAGAUAGCGUGGAUCUGCUGGCCAGGCAGGUAGAGUAGAGAGGGUCAAUCUGCCGGACAGGAAGGUAGUAAAGAGAGGGUGGAUCAGUUGGAUAGGCAGGUAGUGGAGAUAGCAUGGAUCUACUGGCCAGGCAGGUAGUGUAGACAGCUUGGAUCUGCUGGCAGGCACGUAGUGUAGACAGGGUGGACCUGCUGGACAAGCAGUUAGUGUAGACUGGGUGAAUCUGCUGGCCAGGGAGGUAGUGUAGAUACCGUGGAUCUACUGGCCAGGCAGGUAGUGUAGACAGUGUGGAUCUUCUGGGCAAGCAGGUAGUGUAGACAGCGUGGACCUGCUGGAUAGGCAGGUAGUAUAGACAGGGUGGAUUGGCUCGAAAGGCAGGUAGUAUAGACAGGGUGGCUCUGCUGGACAGGAAGGGAAUGUAGAUAGCGUGGAUCUACUGGCCAGGCAAGUAGUAUAGACAGGGUGGAUCUGCUCGACAGAGGGAGGUGUCACACCCCAGGUGGGGCUGAGUGGGACGGCAUGAGACUUCAUCAAGCUACUCAGA
RNAcentral lists this long non-coding RNA (2464 nucleotides) under Homo sapiens (human). Its description in RNAcentral is "non-protein coding lnc-NOC2L-12:1". Lineage: Eukaryota; Metazoa; Chordata; Mammalia; Primates; Hominidae. The record is from RNAcentral.